Molecule: ribosomal RNA, 546 nt
Filed under: uncultured archaeon
Lineage: Archaea
Description: bacterial SSU rRNA
Rfam family: Archaeal small subunit ribosomal RNA
Source: RNAcentral
GUUACUGCUAUCGGUGUUCGCCUAAGCCAUGCGAGUCAUAUGUUCGUAAGAACAUGGCGUACUGCUCAGUAACACGUGGAUAACCUGCCCUUGGGUCCGGCAUAACCCCGGGAAACUGGGGAUAAUUCCGGAUAACGCACAUAUGCUGGAAUGCUUUUUGCGUAAAAUGGAUUCGUCUGCCCAAGGAUGGGUCUGCGGCCUAUCAGGUAGUAGUGGGUGUAAUGUACCUACUAGCCUACGACGGGUACGGGUUGUGAGAGCAAGAGCCCGGAGAUGGAUUCUGAGACAUGAAUCCAGGCCCUACGGGGCGCAGCAGGCGCGAAAACUUUACAAUGCGGGAAACCGUGAUAAGGGGACACCGAGUGCCAGCAUCCUAUGCUGGCUGUCCGGGUGUGUAAAAUACACCUGUUAGCAAGGGCCGGGCAAGACCGGUGCCAGCCGCCGCGGUAACACCGGCGGCCCGAGUGGUGAUCGUGAUUAUUGGGUCUAAAGGGUCCGUAGCCGGUUUGGUCAGUCCUCCGGGAAAUCUGACAGCUCAACUGUUAG